GAUGAGCGCUGGCGGCGUGCCUAAUACAUGCAAGUCGAGCGAACAGACGAGGAGCUUGCUCCUCUGACGUUAGCGGCGGACGGGUGAGUAACACGUGGAUAACCUACCUAUAAGACUGGGAUAACUUCGGGAAACCGGAGCUAAUACCGGAUAAUAUAUUGAACCGCAUGGUUCAAUAGUGAAAGACGGUUUUGCUGUCACUUAUAGAUGGAUCCGCGCCGCAUUAGCUAUUUGGUAAGGUAACGGCUUACCAAGGCAACGAUGCGUAGCCGACCUGAGAGGGUGAUCGGCCACACUGGAACUGAGACACGGUCCAGACUCCUACGGGAGGCAGCAGUAGGGAAUCUUCCGCAAUGGGCGAAAGACUGACGGAGCAACGCCGCGUGAGUGAUGAAGGUCUUCGGAUCGUAAAACUCUGUUAUUAGGGAAGAACAAAUGUGUAAGUAACUAUGCACGUCUUGACGGUACCUAAUCAGAAAGCCACGGCUAACUACGUG
RNAcentral lists this ribosomal RNA (497 nucleotides) under uncultured bacterium. RNAcentral describes it as "partial 16S ribosomal RNA". It matches the Rfam family "Bacterial small subunit ribosomal RNA", at positions 28 to 507 of the family's 1533-position model. The record is from RNAcentral.